RNAcentral lists this transfer RNA (68 nucleotides) under Sambus kanssuensis. RNAcentral describes it as "tRNA-Met". It matches the Rfam family "tRNA". From Rfam's summary of the family: Transfer RNA (tRNA) molecules are approximately 80 nucleotides in length. Their secondary structure includes four short double-helical elements and three loops (D, anti-codon, and T loops). The record is from RNAcentral. Lineage: Eukaryota; Metazoa; Arthropoda; Insecta; Coleoptera; Buprestidae.
AAAAAGAUAAGCUAAACAAGCUAAUGGGUUCAUACCCCUUUUAUAGGGGUCAAAUCCCCUUCUUUUUA